RNAcentral lists this long non-coding RNA (1745 nucleotides) under Homo sapiens (human). Its description in RNAcentral is "HSALNT0339782". Lineage: Eukaryota; Metazoa; Chordata; Mammalia; Primates; Hominidae. The record is from RNAcentral.
CACUCUCAUUGUGUUUUAUUUACCAGCUUGCUUUUAAAGAGCCAGGACCAGUCCACUAGCUGUGCAGAGUGCUGACCUCUUGGAUGAGAGCCCUGACCUCAUAGGAUAUCUGAGCUUGUCAUAAUUCAGGUGGGUUCUGUAGGGAAGCAGGGGCUCGUGGGGAGUGGGAGGAAGCUGGGGAGAAGAUGAGUUGAGAGCAGUCCAGUGUGAGGGAAAGUGGGGAUCCUGGGCCAACUUACCAUUAAGAGGGUCCAGUCCUGUGACUGCUGUGAAGUAACCAGGAUUCCACAUAGAGAUGGGGCUCAAAGUCAGCCCAGGAGCAGCACUGUGGUCCCAGCACCUCUGGGCCAGUCCAGCCAGGUGUAGAGUGAAGCUGAGCCCUUGAUUCAUCCUUGAUUCCAUUGUGAAGUCACACAGCAGCUUGAACUAAUAUUUGGCGACUCCAAGGCCAGGGAUAAAAAUGAAGAGAUGGAGAGACAAGAUUUCCUGGCCUCUAAUUGGCAGCACCCGUUGACUCUGCUCGUGACCAGACUCAUGAACGCUUCAUCCAAGGUUUCAUGUCAUCCGUGUGAGGAACCUCUCUGAUUUGAGAAAAUCUUUCUUAAAAUGGGCUUCUAGUUGUAAAGCCAUUGUCUUUUUAGGAAAUCAUCAAAUACCUUAAAGCUAGACACGCAAUCAGCUGCAUAAAUGACACACUCACUAAAUCAAUCCUUUAUCAGGUGGUCCUUCAAGGAUUUCUUGGUUUUGGGUUUUGAAAUGUGUAAGGUUUGCUGCUAGCAACUCCACAUUUUUUUAUUCACUCACAAAGACACAUGGUCAUAAAUAAAAUGCAUGGAACCAGCGAGACAAUAGCACAGCAGUAAUGUCAUUUUAUAUGCAGCAUGGCCCUGUUGUGAACGGAAUGAUUGUGAACGGAAUGAUGGCCAAGGAGCUUUAUGCUUCUGCACCGCCAGCUCACACGAUGGUCCGUGUAUUGCCCCGUGGAAAACCGGGGGUGGAAAGCUGUCUCCACGUUCUGCUGCCGAAGCAGCAAGCUGAUUCACACAUCUUGAAGGCACAGUGGAACAUGGAAGGGUGCAUAUGAGACUUGAUUUUGAGGAUGAAACUUCCUGUCUGAAUCGCUAAGUCUCCCAGCAGGGGUGUUAAUGUCCCUGUGAGAUGCAGGCUUCCCACAGACACACCCAGGUUGCGAGUGGGUUCAACAUGGUCACAGGAGCUUCAAAUGGUGAUCCUGAUGCUCAUGGCCAUGCAUUGAGAACAACUGUGUAAGAAGAUAUGGAUAAUGCUUGAAAACUACUAGUAUUAGCACCAUUUUGCAUAUACUCCAAGGAAGAUCUCAAUAAAUGCUUAAUGGAAAUAAGUAAAGGUAUGAAUGCUGGACCUAAUACAGGAGGAAGACCCAGGUGAUUUGUGUACAAUUUGGACACAAGCUCUUGCCAACCACCUGAGAGAUUCCAACAAUGAGAUGAGAUUCCUUACCUUGAACCAGAUAAUUUGGAAUGAAUGUCUAGGCAGAACUUCUGCUUCAGAAUGACCACAAUUAACUACCAGACAACCAACUUUGGGGACAUAUCAGUAGGUGCAGAGCAUUUAGAACUGGAAGGACCAUUUGAAAUACAUAGUUCAUCUCUCUCAUGUUACUGAGGAGGAAAACUGAAGUGCACGGAGGUAAAGUAACUCGCCCAGUAUCACAAUUUGUGUUUGUACCAUUGCUGAGGUGAGCACCUGGGCCUUCUAACCCCAAA